This 1396-nucleotide long non-coding RNA is filed under the name Sus scrofa (pig). RNAcentral's name for it is "lncRNA (ENSSSCG00070003443.1)". Lineage: Eukaryota; Metazoa; Chordata; Mammalia; Artiodactyla; Suidae. The record is from RNAcentral.
GUAUCUGCUUUACACGUGACACUUAUUAGAGUUAGUUGAAAUAACAUCAUAGUUAUAUGGAAUAGUUUAUAAAUGUUUAUUAAACAUCAGUAAUUUUUACAGAGCAAAUAUUAAUAGCAAGCGGCAAAAUGUUUGCAAAAUAUGUACAAAAGUAAAAAAGCCGUAAUGACUAGCCACUCAUUUUAUAAAAUCAAAGCAACACUGUCAGACCUCCUUUAGAAAUAAUUUAUUGCCAACCCUGAACUAAAGCACUGAGAGCAAAAAAAAAAAAAUUUACAACAAUAUCAGAUAAUGCUCAGUUCCUGGAAAGUUAUAAAAAGAUAUAUGUAUAAAAAAAUCCUAAACCGCAAAUACAGUCAGAUGGUUAGGCUUAGAUGCCACAAGAGUGAACACAGUUAUUUAAAUGCUAACUAUACAUUCAAGUACAGACGUAAAAAUGCUAGUGGUACAAACACUGUUCUUCAAAUUCACCUAACAGCCUAAGGCUAAGAGCAACGUGAUGGUACUUGAAAAAGCCAUGAAGUUCAACUUGUUUCAAAUGUUCAGGUUUAGACUUACACUUUCACCUUGGGUAUAAAUCUGUUAAGCCCUAACCUUGUACCGUAACACAAUGGGCAGGUACUGCGUCUUUGGAACCUGGAGACACAGACACCUGCUCACAUACAGUCCCUCUCCCCUUCUCAUGUUCACUACACGGAAAAGCCAACCUGUAUCCUCUUCUCUUAAUUAAAGACCAAAAAAAAAAAAAAAAAAGCAAAAAGCACUACUUUUAGUCCAGCAGCACAAACACAAGGACAGAUCACCUGUGACAAAUAUCACUUAAUGUGUUGAAAUGAUGGGAAAGAGAGAAAAAGUCAGAUUUCCACUUGAAAAAGACACGGAAAAGUUCUGUUCUUGAUGCCUCAAUUAAAACUCAAAAGAAAUGAAAAGGUAACAGAGUGACUUUCUCUAGGUUUAUUAGGGGACUUUAUUACAAAUGUUUCAGCUUUACAGGCAUGAUUUCAUGGAUUCAAACAAGAAAUUAAGAGUUAACACUGAUAUUUAACCUUCUCAUUACAUAUACAGAAAUAACAGUGCUACAAAUUGCAAUGGAGAGACUCUUGUUUCAGAUGGCCUGGUUUGGGGUUUUUGUCUAAAUGUAUCAUUAUAUAAUGAAAGCACCAAUUUGAGGGUUUCUCAAAUAAGGGAUCUGAGUUUCAGAACAUAACUUGGUAACUUCUUCUCUUCAUAUAAGUAAGGCAUCACCGGAUAUGUGUACUAAUGCUGAAGACACAUUUUUACCAAAAGCACAAAUACAAAUAUUGUAUACACUGGAAGUCAGGAUUUACUCAUUCCCGCUUACAAAAAAUUAUGAGUCAAUUCAAAUCAACACUUCUAAUCACUUCUGGUAUUAAGG